This 28-nucleotide non-coding RNA is filed under the name Mus musculus (house mouse). The record is from RNAcentral. Lineage: Eukaryota; Metazoa; Chordata; Mammalia; Rodentia; Muridae.
UGUGUUACAUAGCAUAUUCAGUGAUAGA